Molecule: long non-coding RNA, 796 nt
Filed under: Homo sapiens (human)
Lineage: Eukaryota; Metazoa; Chordata; Mammalia; Primates; Hominidae
Description: HSALNT0114191
Source: RNAcentral
CCUGUUUUGCAGGAGUUAUGCUCAUAAUUGCACACUCACUUCCAGAUAAAAGGCAAGUUGGAGCAGAGAGGGAGGGUUCUAGAUGUAGGAACAGCAAUGCAAAUGGCCAAGGGUACAGGAGUUUCAAGUGUAAAGGAGCUAAAAUUCUCCACUGUUGAAGCAACUGUGAGUAAUAUUAGUAGCUGUAUUGCGGGAACAAAGUUGGAAAAAACGUGGCAAGAGGUAGGUGAAGCAGGCUCAUUCUACCAUGGGUGCUUUCAUGGAUUCUCAGAAGACUGCCUCCUCCGGUCUGCCGCCAGAUCAGUGCACUUUCCUGCUUAGGCUGAUCCCUUAGUCCCUCUGCAACCAGCAAAACCUUCGGCUUCUGUCAAGAUGGCGUUUCGCUCUUAUUGCCCAGGCUGGAGUACAAUGGCACGAUCUUGGCUCACCACAACCUCUGCUUCCUGGGUUCGAGUGAUUCUCCUGCCUCAGCCUCCCAAGUAGCUGGGAUUACAGGCAUGUGCCACCAAGCCCAGCUAAUUUUUGUAUUUUUAGUAGAGAUGGGGUUUCUCCAUGUUGUUCAGGCUGGUCUCCAACUCUCGACCUCAGGUGAUCUGCCUGCCUCGGCUUCCCAAAGUGCUGGGAUUACAGAUGUGAGCCACUGCACCUGGCCAAAGUGAAGUCUUAAUUCCUAAUUACUUUGUCUCUUCUUGUUAUUAACUUCUUUUCACUUCUUGAAUUUACUGUACUAACUGCACCAAAAGAAUAAUUUCUUGAUUAUAUAAUUCAUGCAGAAAUAAAAAAGGCUAUUUUACAA